CUCUCUCUCUCUCUCUGUUCCUACUUUCUCCCCUUUCUUUCCUUUUCUCUUGUUUAUUUUAAUUAUAAUUUUAUUAAUACUUUUUUCUUUCAGAAAAUGAAUGCAUGGUAUCAAAUAAAAGCUGAGAGAUGAGCGACAAACUAGUGGGGGAUGAAGGGGGUGAAGGGGAAGGGAAAGAUACCAGUUCACACCCAGAACUGUUCAUUCAGCACGAAGGCAUCAUCCAACAACCAACUAGUUCAUCCUUUCACACAUUCAUUUGUCUGUUCCCACUGACAGACAUUGACAGAGAGCGUACAUUUCGAGGCGCAAAGGACUCCCUCCACUCGGGGCCGAGGGCAGAGAGCGGUAGGUGUCAAGUGCAGAGCGCGCCGAUGAUGGCCGAUGAAUGAAUGAACGUUGGGAGCAAGCAGGUCUAAGAGUCCAUGCACACAUUUCGGAGUAGAGCCCGGUGAGAGCAGCAGACACACGAGAGACCUAAACACGUUGCUGGUAUUGAAAGAAAGGGAGAAGAAGGUAAGGAAACAAGCAAACAAACAAACAAACAAUCCAACAAACAAUCCAACAAACACACAACUUACAAAAUAGGAAAAGAAAAAGAAGGUGAUUUUCCACGCAAAGAUUAUAGCAAUUGAGGAGGAAUUGCGAAGAGUAAAAGAACUCGAAACCUCCAGAGAUUCAAUGUCAAGU
RNAcentral lists this long non-coding RNA (690 nucleotides) under Physcomitrium patens. RNAcentral's name for it is "long non-coding RNA (PPAT_LNC013970)". The record is from RNAcentral. Lineage: Eukaryota; Viridiplantae; Streptophyta; Bryopsida; Funariales; Funariaceae.